RNAcentral lists this RNase P RNA (311 nucleotides) under bacterium. Its description in RNAcentral is "RNase P RNA component class A". It matches the Rfam family "Bacterial RNase P class A". From Rfam's summary of the family: Ribonuclease P (RNase P) is a ubiquitous endoribonuclease, found in archaea, bacteria and eukarya as well as chloroplasts and mitochondria. Its best characterised activity is the generation of mature 5'-ends of tRNAs by cleaving the 5'-leader elements of precursor-tRNAs. The record is from RNAcentral.
CACAGGCGCUGGACAGCUAAGCCCCGACGUAAGUUGGGGUUAGGAAAGUCCGAACACAGACCAGUUUAGUCUGGAAAAGUAAAGGGUAAUACCCUUCCAUAGCGAUAUGGAGUUGCGAACAGUGACGAACCGAUUUAGUUCGGGUGAAACGGCUAAAUACUUACUCCUGUGCAAGAUCGUGUCCUCCCGCGCCUCACGGCGGAGGAGGAAGAAUCGCUUGAGCCCUUUGGCAACAAAGGGCCUAGACAAAUCGCUGUCAUCUCCGACCACGUCGGGGAACACAGAAUUCGGCUUAUAGGCGCCUGUAGAAA